UACAGAGGUCCCAAGCGUUGUUCGGAUUCAUUGGGCGUAAAGGGUGCGUAGGUGGCGCCGUAAGUCGGGUGUGAAAUUUCGGAGCUUAACUCCGAGACUGCAUUCGAUACUGCGGUGCUUGAGGACUGGAGAGGAGACUGGAAUUCAUGGUGUAGCAGUGAAAUGCGUAGAGAUCAUGAGGAAGACCAGUGGCGAAGGCGGGUCUCUGGACAGUUCCUGACACUGAGGCACGAAGGCCAGGGGAGCAAACGGG
Molecule: ribosomal RNA, 253 nt
Filed under: uncultured bacterium
Lineage: Bacteria
Description: partial 16S ribosomal RNA
Rfam family: Bacterial small subunit ribosomal RNA
Source: RNAcentral